GGGGUGGACGGGUGGGGCUGCCAGAAGGCGCUCGAAGGGGUCAUUUGGGGGUUGGGGGUUUCAUGGGUCCGGAGAGAGGUCUCCAGACUCAGCUGUGGCCCUAGGAUACAGAAAACUCCGGAGAGGGACAUUGGACCGGGGUGCCGCAUGCCUCAUGGUGAAACCUGGCCUUGCACUGGGAUUGGUGGAUUGUCAGUACUUAAAGCAUCCUGUUCUGAUCCUUUAGAUUGGAAGUAUUGGCUCCCAUUUGGGCUUUCUGUAUACAAAUGGCCAUUUGCCCUUUCUGUUCUAGAUUAAUUUUUUGGAUUAAGACUGUUGUCUGCAGUGACUUUAAUGUAUGACAUUUCAGGACUGCCCCAGGAGUGGCUUCUUCCAAAGUGCACUACAGAGGACUUUAUUCUCAAGUUCUUAGUCCACAUUGCAAGGAUGGAAUGUGCAGAUAAAGUAGUGGUUUGCAGGUUCUAUAGCCCAAUUGAAGUGGUUACAGGCAGAAAAGUUAGAGAACCAUUUUCUAAUUUUCCUUAUGUUUUUUUUCUCAGACUAGAGGGCCAGAAUAUUCUCUAUGGAGAGCAUGCUGCUCAAACAGCAUCUGAAGACCUAUAAAAGAGUGAAAGAAUUUCCCCCUCCCACCCUUCCAAGAAAUCAGGAGUCGGAGAAGUGUCCUGGUGACUUCACAUAAUGUGUAUGGAACUUUUCAAAUGUCAGUUGUCCUGUGGACUUGAACUUUGUCAGAGCCAAAGACUCCAUAUAUCCUGUACUACACAAUCCUGUCUUCAAAUGAUUUGUAGGUUGGAGCUAGGAGACUUUCUGAGUACAUUGUAGCCCCUUCCUUGCUUGGCUAGGUGCGAAGAUGAAAGGUCAUUAUUGUAACCAUCCUGUUACAAAAAAAUGUACUGUAAAAACUAAGUCUUCCACCCUUUGCCCUCUAGAAGUUACCUUUUCCAAAGAAACCAUUGUUUCCAGUUUUUUAAUUUAUUCUCCUAAAGAAUAGGUUGUAAUAAAACAUUACAUGACCUGUAUCUCACUCUCCUUCAACUCAUUGACAUUCCUUGGACCUCAAUCGUAGGUAGAGUUGUAAGUAGUGUAAAUUGGUUAGUUAUUUGGCUUUUGAUGACCUAUACCUAGAACUGGAUCCUGGAAAGACAGUUUCCAGGCAUGAGGACUACAAAGCAUGAUGUAUUGAGGACUGUGUGAAGUUCUAGCAUAGCUCGGAGAUGUUCUUUUCCUGCCUUGAGGCAGUUGUGGGGAGGCUCAGGUCAUAGUUCAGGAGAGAAACUAGUUCCUUUUAUUCCCAUCUGCUGAUACGAGUUGGCUGAUGGGAAAUACAGUCAGCAUUAAUACAUGUGAUUGGCCAUUUCUGUUUUUCUGUUUAGAACUUGCAGACAUCAGUGAGAUCAGGACUUUUUGUUUGUUGGUAGUUCAUAUUGCCAUUAAAGCCUUAGGAAAAUUAUCAAUGAUUAAGAUGUGGGAAUAAGCUGAUCUAUAUGAGGGAGCAAGCUGUGGUAAGCCAACUUAAUGUAAUUGCUAUUUCCUCUGUAUUUUCUAGACAAGGAGAGGGUAAACAGACACAUAGGGCCUCUAUUAAUCAAUUGAGUAUUUACUGAGUAACUUGCAUAGUCUGCAUUUAGGGAGAUGUAGAAGUAAUCACAGCUCCUGAUUUCAAUGAAAUUAUAGUUUAGUUAAGUAGCAAGACUAACAUGAUGCAUAAACAAUGUGUGUCAGGCACCACUAAAGUAUUAAUGUCAUAGGAGUUCAGAGGAGAGGGAGACCAGUAAAUUAAGCUGGUGAGCUCAGGAAAGAUUUCCUGGAUGAAAUGGGACUUGAGCUUGGAAUUGUAGAAUGGAGACAAUUUGGAUAGGAGAAGCUGAGGAAGGAAAUCAUACCUUGGAGGUGUUUUUCUCUUAUUCUUUUACAGAGAAUUUAAAUUCACUUUUCGGGGCACCUCGGUGGCUCAGUU
Molecule: long non-coding RNA, 1957 nt
Organism: Suricata suricatta (meerkat)
Lineage: Eukaryota; Metazoa; Chordata; Mammalia; Carnivora; Herpestidae
Exons: 3
Source: RefSeq, a predicted model, not a curated record